Molecule: RNase P RNA, 394 nt
Filed under: Sodalis sp. CWE
Lineage: Bacteria; Pseudomonadati; Pseudomonadota; Gammaproteobacteria; Enterobacterales; Bruguierivoracaceae
Description: RNase P RNA component class A
Rfam family: Bacterial RNase P class A
About the family: Ribonuclease P (RNase P) is a ubiquitous endoribonuclease, found in archaea, bacteria and eukarya as well as chloroplasts and mitochondria. Its best characterised activity is the generation of mature 5'-ends of tRNAs by cleaving the 5'-leader elements of precursor-tRNAs. Cellular RNase Ps are ribonucleoproteins.
Source: RNAcentral
GGAGUUGGCUAGACAAUCGCUGCUUUAAUUUCUAUUUCUAGAAAAUUGGAAUAAAAAAUAAAGGAGAGGAAAGUCCGGGCUCCACAGGGCGAAGUGCCAGAUAACACCUGGGAGGUGAGAACCUACGACAAGUGCAACAGAAAGAAAACCGCCAAUGAAUAAAAUGCAAAAGUUAUUCAAAUCAGGUAAGGGUGAAAAGGUGUGGUAAGAGCACACCGCGCAGUUGGUAACAGCUUGCGGCGUGGUAAACUCCACUUGGAGCAAGGCCAAAUUUAGGAGACAAACAUGGCCCGUGUUAAAGUCUCCGGGUAGGCCGCUUGAGCUAGCACGUGAGUGCCUAGCCUAGAUAAAUGAUUGUCCACGACAGAACCCGGCUUAACGGUCAACUCCAAUU